This 521-nucleotide ribosomal RNA is filed under the name uncultured bacterium. Its description in RNAcentral is "bacterial SSU rRNA". It matches the Rfam family "Bacterial small subunit ribosomal RNA", at positions 867 to 1395 of the family's 1533-position model. The record is from RNAcentral.
CCUCGGCCGCGUCGACCCGCAAGGCUGAAACUCAAAGGAAUUGACGGGGCCCGCACAAGCAGUGGAGUAUGUGGAUUAAUUCGAAGCAACGCGAAGAACCUUACCAGGUCUUGACAUCCAGCUAACGAAGUAGAGAUACAUUAGGUGCCCUUCGGGGAAAGCUGAGACAGGUGGUGCAUGGUUGUCGUCAGCUCGUGUCGUGAGAUGUUGGGUUAAGUCCCGCAACGAGCGCAACCCUUACUGUUAGUUGCUACGCAAGAGCACUCUAGCAGGACCGCCGUUGACAAAACGGAGGAAGGUGGGGAUGAUGUCAAAUCAUCAUGCCCCUUAUGACCUGGGCCUCACACGUACUACAAUGGCCGUUAACAGAGGGAAGCAAUACCGCGAGGUGGAGCAAAACCCUAAAAACGGUCCCAGUUCGGAUUGUAGGCUGCAACCCGCCUGCAUGAAGUUGGAAUUGCUAGUAAUCGCGGAUCAGCAUGCCGCGGUGAAUACGUUCCCGGGCCUUGUACACACCGCCC